UCCUACGGGAGGCAGCAGUGGGGGAUAUUGCACAAUGGGGGGAACCCUGAUGCAGCGACGCCGCGUGGGUGAAGAAGCGCCUCGGCGCGUAAAGCUCUAUCAGCAGGGAAGAAGAAAGACGGUACCUGACUAAGAAGCCCCGGCUAACUACGUGCCAGCAGCCGCGGUAAUACGUAGGGGGCAAGCGUUAUCCGGAUUUACUGGGUGUAAAGGGAGCGUAGACGGCAUAGCAAGUCUGAAGUGAAAGCCCGUGGCUCAACCGCGGAACUGCUUUGGAAACUGUUAAGCUGGAGUACUGGAGAGGC
This 305-nucleotide ribosomal RNA is filed under the name uncultured bacterium. RNAcentral describes it as "bacterial SSU rRNA". It matches the Rfam family "Bacterial small subunit ribosomal RNA", at positions 337 to 658 of the family's 1533-position model. The record is from RNAcentral.